RNAcentral lists this microRNA (24 nucleotides) under Tribolium castaneum (red flour beetle). Its description in RNAcentral is "tca-miR-3822-5p". The record is from miRBase by way of RNAcentral. Lineage: Eukaryota; Metazoa; Arthropoda; Insecta; Coleoptera; Tenebrionidae.
CGAGGUGUUGCACAGUUAAUAUUG